GCCGUGUGAACUGCAGGACAUACGAACAUCGACACUUUGAAUGCAUAUUGCGGAUUUGAGCUUGUCUCAGAUCCAUACCUGGCUCAGGGUCGGUUUAACAUCCAUCAGGCUCACUUGUGUGUGCCUGCAUUGGGCAGUUGUUUUGCCAAUGGCAGAGCAGUGCCUCAAGUUUUGUCGUGCAGAUUACACCGACUCGACUCUUGGGAGAGAUCCUGGGUUGUUGUCGAUGGCUGCAUGUGCAUGGUGCCUUGGCUUUUGMAUUAGCCUUUGUGUGCACCGCCUCUUUCACUUUCGACCUGAGAUUAGGUAAGAUUACCCGCCGAAUUUAAGCAUAUUAAUAAGCGGAGGAAAAGAAAACAACUGUGAUUCCCUUAGUAAUGGCGAAUGAAACGGGAAUAGCCCAGCGCAGAACUGCAGAUCACCUUGGUCUUGCGGAAUGUUGCGUUUGGGAGAGUCUUCUCGAGGACUGGACGGCCAGUCAAAGUCCAACUUGACUGUGGSCA
Molecule: ribosomal RNA, 503 nt
Filed under: Subeucalanus pileatus
Lineage: Eukaryota; Metazoa; Arthropoda; Copepoda; Calanoida; Eucalanidae
Description: eukaryotic LSU rRNA
Rfam family: Eukaryotic large subunit ribosomal RNA (bases 293-503)
Source: RNAcentral